AUUCUCUCUUCAGCAGCACAUAAAGUAAAACUGGAACCAUACAGACAUUAGCAUUGCCCUUGUGCAAGGAUGACAUGCAAAUUCAUGAAGCAUUCCAUUUAUUA
This 104-nucleotide small nuclear RNA is filed under the name Castor canadensis (American beaver). The record is from RNAcentral. Lineage: Eukaryota; Metazoa; Chordata; Mammalia; Rodentia; Castoridae.